AAUAUGCUCCGCACCCUCAGCCUGUUCUCACUCCUCCGCGGCGCAGCAGGUAAACAUGGCUGCUCUUCUUAAAUCUGUCUUUCGUCAUUUUUAUAGUUAAAUUUAUUGACAUUUAGCUGUGACAGCAGCUGUUUACAUGCACAUUCUUACUUUAUUCUUCUAAAUAUGUGCUUUAUUUGUCGUUUCAAUGUUGACUAGAUUGAAAUCAUGUAAAGUAGCAGAGUAGGCCUCAGCCACGUGCCUCAUUGCUCGUGCUUGGAUGCUAAUUAGCAUUUUGAACCAUUAGGUCGCCUCGCUGCAGCAAUCCCAUGCAUAUAUGAUGAUACACAUGUUGGUAGGGACAUCUGAAUAUAGUGAAGAAUGCCAACUGUUCUGACUAGAUGGGACUAGGCUUAAUAAUAAUUUGAGUUAGCUGCACACGUGCUACGUGUACAGUGUUAUAUUACAAACUAAAUUUAAGUUGCAUCGUUUUAACUCUUUAUAAUGUACUUUUCUCUUAAAGGCUUUUAACUUAAGUACUUCCAUUUUUUCUUCAGGUUGAAAAAGAUGAAAAGAACCAACAGGAAACAGAAAGAUCCGCAGGAGGAAACACGGACACAAGAAUGAAAACUAAAAGACUAAAGUCUCUCCUCCGCGGAGCAGCAGGUUUAACAAGAUGUUUCUAGACUGGGAACCACCUCAGAAUGCAAUGCUCGUCUCAAGGAAUGUCCAGAGACAUGAAGCAACUGGUGGAAAUGAGGUGUGCUCACAAUGGUUGACUUGACCUUCAAAUGACAUCCAGAGCAGGUAAUGCACAUUUAUUAUUUGACCUAGUUGUCCUAAAAUAAACUGUGAAUGAUGAGCUUGUUUACAAAAC
RNAcentral lists this long non-coding RNA (856 nucleotides) under Cottoperca gobio. RNAcentral's name for it is "lncRNA (ENSCGOG00000006260.1)". The stretch from base 306 to 385 matches the Rfam family "Small nucleolar RNA SNORD74". Lineage: Eukaryota; Metazoa; Chordata; Actinopteri; Perciformes; Bovichtidae. The record is from RNAcentral.